AUGCUCGUCUUCUUGUUCGGGCUGCAGCUGGGUGGUGGUGCAGAUGCAGAGCAGAGCUUAGUCCUGACGAUGACGGCGAUGGCGAUGCAUGUGUGGGAGAGAGGCGAAGCCGCGAAGGCGAAGGAGGAGGCGGAAAUGGGGCGGGUUCCGGGAAUCGGGUGGUGGUGGGGGUGCGAGCCUAGGGGGAAGAGGCCAAAAGCCCAGAAAAACCGCGUGCCACGUGCCGGCCGGUGCUGCCUGCAGCUAGGCGUACACACAGCACAGGAGCUGUACUGUGCACGGAAGGAAUCAGCUAAGCUAGCGGCAGAUGACGCAGAGGACGAUGGCGACGAUUAUGAUGAGCGCCAGCAGCGGCAGCGAUAUCACCAGCACCAGCUCCAUGAUAAAUUAAUUAAGGAUGAUCGAUAUGAGAUCGAUCUACUUAAUUUGCUUCAACAAAUCUCGCUCGCUGCUCCGACUCCGAUCCUCUCACGUACUACACGGCGCAAUACACAGCCCUGCAAACAACAAUUAAAUUGAAUAGAAUUAA
This 529-nucleotide long non-coding RNA is filed under the name Oryza sativa Indica Group (long-grained rice). Its description in RNAcentral is "lncRNA OsMH63_10G014410". The record is from RNAcentral. Lineage: Eukaryota; Viridiplantae; Streptophyta; Magnoliopsida; Poales; Poaceae.